Molecule: long non-coding RNA, 3650 nt
Filed under: Cucumis sativus (cucumber)
Lineage: Eukaryota; Viridiplantae; Streptophyta; Magnoliopsida; Cucurbitales; Cucurbitaceae
Description: long non-coding RNA (CSAT_LNC002979)
Source: RNAcentral
AAAAAAAAGAAAGUAUAAGGUUACCUUAUAAAUAAAUAAAUAAAUAAAUAAUAUUUAAGGUUUUAAUGAGUUUACUAAAAGAAAUAUUGACUUUUAGAUAAGAUGAAAAAAUAGUAUUAAUGAAUAUAGACCAUUUUAUCCAAAAAGAAUUAUGAACUAAUAUAGAUUUGAUUGAGUUUAAUAUUACUUUAACUCAUUCCACUAAUACAAAUGCUGAUGGGGAAUCCAUGUGGCUAAUAGGGAAAGAGCAUUUUAAUAAUUAUUAUUUUUAGCUGUGAUAAUAACAUUUUUUUUUAUAUAAAGAAACGUAUAAUAUUUUAUUUUCGAGAAAAAGAAAUAAAUAUAGAUUGGAAAAGAAAUGGAUAUAUAUCUUUUCUACAUUUGUUGAGAAUGGUUUUGAUGAUUUAAUAUAAAUGACCGAAUAAAGUAUCAUAAACAGAUCUACAUACUUUUCUACUUAUAAAUAUCUUGAUAAUGAUAUUGUAUUCAAAAUAUAUAUAUAUAUAUAAAUUUACAUGUUCAUGUUUAUACUUUAUAAUAUAUUUUUUAAUCUUUUUCAACUUUUAAAUCUUUUAUUUUAAUUGUUCUAAUUUUGCCUUAAAAAAUAACAUUAAUUACUUGCUCAAGAGUCGUUCUAAAAUGUGAUUGUUGUCUAUUUCUUGUAUAGUUUGAAAUAUUCAUAUUGAAUAAUUGAAUUAUAAAAUAUAGGAAAAGUUAUCCGACUUAUUAUAUCUCAAUAAAAAAUAUUAAAAAGCUAAAUAAAGAAAAUACUUAUUUUUAUUAUAAAUAGUUUUCUAUAGGUGUAAUUAUUUUGUAAAAUUUGUUAUUUGUUAUUUUUUUUCUUUUUUUAAAUAUGAUAAUUUCUCUAUGUAUUUAUACUAAGUAAAAUAAAUUAGAUAAAAUUCCACAACUAAAAUAUAAUAUUUGAAAUUUUUGUGAUCAAAGUAGGAUAAUUAUAAGUCUUACGGACAUAUUUAAUAUAUUUUACCAUAAGAAGAAGUAUGCAAUACAAUACAUUCAUCACGCGCGUAUAAAACUUUACUUCACAUAAAAUUUUUCUUUAGAACAAUCAUUCCUUUCAUAAACGUCAGUCAUAUGAAAAAACACAUCUUUACAAAUGAACAAAAAAUUUAGAAGGAUGUUUUGAAAACAUUAAACAAUUGAAGAAUCACUCACAAUCCUUAGUUCCCUUUAGCUUAGAGCGCCUAGUCUUCGAGCUUUUUCUCGCCUAAUACUUCUUCUUAGUAGAAUAACACUAGAUUCUUGCACAAUCCUCCUUUAUCGUCCAUUUCCUUCUUUUUGUACUAAUCUUCAAAAUAGAUUAGUCAUCCUUAAGUCCUUAAUAACUUGCUAGCUUCUACUUGAAGUUUUUACAUGUGUAAGUUCAAUGCUCAUUUUGACCAUGCUUAAGUUUAACCUUACACGUAAACAACUAUUAAAUCAUGAUUAGACGUAUUCCUCACAUAAUCUCAUCUCGCGUUAUACUUCAGAAUGCCCAACACUUUGUUAAACACGUACUUCUUUAAUGCGUCACCUCCCUUGAUCAAUGCCAGCUUCAAAAGACACGCUCCCUUUGAAAACAUAUUUUCCUCACACUUAGUCAAAAUGACCCUUCUAUUCAGACACGAGCCUCACAAUCAGAGUAUAACAGAUUUUACAGUAUAAUGAUGGAAAGAUCUCUUACAUAGGUAUGCAUGAAAAAUGAGACUAGACUAAGAGAAGAUGAAAACGAAAGUUAAGUCUAGGAAAGACGCAAUAUGUGUGAGAUUUGAGGGAGAAUUAAAAAAAAAAAAAGGUUGAAAAGACCAACUUAAAAAUAAAUGUAAAAUAUAGAAAGAAAGAAACACACAAAAGUUGAAAAGAGAAAUGAUAAUUGUGGGUGUAAAAUUUGACCCGUUAGCCCCAAUCAACCACAAUACCACGUUCUAGAUGUCGUCAAAGGCGCGUGUAUCACACGUGAAUCCACCAAUUGUGGGCCCCAAAAGCCAAACGAAAAUAAUCUCUCUUUUAAGAGACCCCAUUAUUGUUUUUACCAAACAAAACAUAUCAUUAACCCUUAACUCUAAUUUUAAUUAUUUUCAAUCCAUUUUAAAUUUAAUCUAUAUACAAACAAAUGAAAACUUUCAAAACCAUUAUUUUAUUUUAAAUUUAGAGCAGAAAAAAAGUUUAUAAUUUUUAUAUAAAUUCUAUUAUCAUAAUCUUUUUUACUAUUUUACUAUACACGUUUUAACGUUUAUAUAAAUUUGAAAGUUUAAGGGUCUGACUAUAAUUAUCGUGUAGGUGGUACCGUUUAUUCAAAAUUAAUUGGAGGAGACAAACUAUGGGAGAAAAUUGAAGGUGCAUGUUUUGAACUAAAAUUAAAGAAAGUUUUUAAAAUAUAAUAAUUUGGGAUGAGAAAUAUAUAAUAUAAUUUAGAGGAAUUAAAGAAAAAAGAGGAUGAAUUAGAGCUGACUAUGCUUUCUCAUCUGUCUGACGCUGAGUUGCUGACCAAUCUACAGCAUGGAUUGAACUAAAGCCCUAAAUUAAAAUAUCAAAAAAAAAAAAAAAAAUUAUAAUUAUAAACACACAUCGGUAAACCCUAUUAUUUAUUUUAUAAUCUUAAUUAAUCAGCUUCAUAACAUUUACAUAAUUUCAUUUAAGUGCAGUCAUGUUUUCAAUUUUAUUCCACUUUUGUUUUCUAAUUUUUAAGACAUAUAUUUAAUAUUCAAUUUUUUAGAUUUAUUCCAUUUUGAUCAGGUUUCUAUAUUAGCCUCUACCUUCAAAUAAAAAUUACAUUUUUACUUUUUUUUUUCCUUAAAAAAUAUAACAAGCUGUUGAAAUAUUUAUUAUAAUUUGAAAACUGAAAAGAAUCUAAACUAUUUUUUCAGUAUUUUUUUAUAUUUGAUACACAAUUAAUAACAUAAUUUUUUUUUGAGUAAAUGAAAAAAGGAAAUAAAAUAAGAAGCAAAUAAAAUAAACCUCAAGGCUUUUCUUAAGGAAUAGAAAGGAAAUUUAAAGUAGAAAGGAAUUAGAUGGGAGAGAGAGAAAGAAAAGUAUUGGGUUCGGUUGGUCUGGUUCGCUCCGGUUCGAUUUUUAUUGCUUUUUCUUAUAUGGGCAUUGGCCGCAUAGAUGGAUUUCUUGUUCAAUAGUAUUAUGAAAAGGAAAAGGAAGCAAGGAAGCAGAGAGAGAGAGUAGAAGAAUAAAAAAGAAAAAAAGAGAAAAAAAUAAAAAUAAAAAAGCGAGCUGAAACUCAGAGAAAGAACUGAAGUGAAAAAUCAACCAACAGAAAGGAAACGAAAGAAUGGUGGAUUGAAGAAGAAAGUGGUUCCUUCUUCAGAUGGGAAAGACGAACAGUAGAAGAAUUUAUGGUUGUUGUUUGGGUAACAAAGAAGGAAUUUUAAGCUUCGAGAUGCGAGCUACUGAUUCCGGUAGAAAAGGAACCUUCUCCGUACUCCUUCUAUACCUCCUUUUGAUUCUCAUUUUACCAAGCAUUUAAGUUUCAAAAUCCCUUCACAAAUUUCUUCUUCUUCUUCUUCUUCUUCUUCUUCUUCACAAGCUGCUUCUUUUUCUGUUUCAUCUUACUUCAAUCUGGUCUUCUUUUGGUGUUUUUCUUCUGGGGUUGCUUUAUUUUGACUUGGCUUUCUGUUUGUAUAUCAAAUCAAGCUAACUUU